UACGUAGGCAGCGAGCGUUGUUCGGAAUUCCUGGGCGUAAAGAGUGUGUAGGCGGUGCUCUAAGUUCGGUGUGAAAUCUCCUGGCUUAACUGGGAGGGUGCGCCGGAAACUGGAGUGCUCGAGCGUGGGAGAGGAAAGCGGAAUUCCUGGUGUAGCGGUGAAAUGCGUAGAUAUCGGGAGGAACACCAGUGGCGAAGGCGGUUACCUGGAGCUUUGCUGACGCUGAUGCGCGAAAGCGUGGGGAGCGAUCCGG
RNAcentral lists this ribosomal RNA (253 nucleotides) under uncultured bacterium. RNAcentral describes it as "partial 16S ribosomal RNA". It matches the Rfam family "Bacterial small subunit ribosomal RNA", at positions 524 to 776 of the family's 1533-position model. The record is from RNAcentral.